Molecule: non-coding RNA, 1181 nt
Organism: Musa acuminata subsp. malaccensis (wild Malaysian banana)
Lineage: Eukaryota; Viridiplantae; Streptophyta; Magnoliopsida; Zingiberales; Musaceae
Source: RefSeq, a predicted model, not a curated record
AGGGUAACCCUCCCCCGCCAGAACCUUUGGCAGCAACGUCAUCCUUUGGUUGGACCACCCUGCCCCUGAUUCCUUGACCACUUGAUGUCGAAGUAUCGGUGCUUAUGCUCAUCAUUGGUUUAAAAGGAUAUGAGAAUUGGAAUGGCCCGUGCUCAAGCCUUGAAAGGUGUCAACAAAGAAGGAAAGCCUGAUGUCACUAUUAAAUUCAAGAGCAAGGAGUCUGUGGAUACAACAGAUGCAUCUGGAAUCUUAUCUAUGAACGUUGGCGAAAAAAUGUGUUUUAUGUUUUUGUUCUGAAAUCAGAGAUCAGGGGGUUGGUGGGUGCCAAGGAUAUGUCUGGAUUGAUCUGUGCUAACAAUUGCCAAGAUCGUGUCUUCUGAAGGUGGUCGAUGAGGUCAUGGAUGAGGAAGCUGAUAUUGCUAAUUGCCCUGGCAGCAUUGUAUUUAAGAUGGAGAAAGAUGAGGACCUGGAUGCUGCCAUAUAUUCAAGCUCCUUUGGGAACACCUUCUCUGGAUCAGACAAUAGUCAGCCGAAUCAGGAUCAUGGAGACAUGGUCACCCUUUGUUCCUUCAAAUGUUGACCCUGCUGCUAUGGAUGGACUUAACGGGGUUUUUAAUGUCGAUGACAAUUGUGGAUAGAUAAUCAAGUAGCCGAAGAUGGGUAUCAGUACUUUCAGAAAGUCAGCCAAGCAACAGAGAAACUUCAAAGGAUGAUAAAGACACAAGCUGAGACCCAUUCUGGAGAUGCGAGCAGUGCCCCUGAGGUCCCAUUGCCAAAACCAGUUCCAGGAACAGAAAUAGUGUCUAUGCCACAGCAACCGGUUCUGAAGCCCUGCUACAUAGGAAAAAAAAUAGAGGGAAAAAGCCCAGUAAGAAACGAUGCCAGAGUGAGAGGCUUAAGAAAUGAAGAUUGUCCAGCAAAACAACUUAACAAACUCAAGUAUGUGUUCGACAUGUAUCCUAUCUAGCUAAUUUUGAUCACAUUUUGGUGGUUUGAUUCCUCUUUCACAGUCAUAUCAUGAUAAGUAUAAGAUUAAACUUGUACAUCUGGCUGUUGGUGGUCUAAAGCCUUUCUCUCAAGUUGACAACUGUUGUUCACAGUCAUGCCUGAAAAAUGUAACUUGGACCGGGCUAAUUGAUCAGUCUGAAUUGAUGAACUAAGUGAUGGCAAUUACUGUUGUC